RNAcentral lists this long non-coding RNA (984 nucleotides) under Citrus x clementina. RNAcentral describes it as "Citrus clementina (C. clementina) long non-coding RNA (CCLE_LNC004068)". The record is from RNAcentral. Lineage: Eukaryota; Viridiplantae; Streptophyta; Magnoliopsida; Sapindales; Rutaceae.
AUGAUCUUAAGGAUAGAAGUUUGUACAAACCAGGGUUUACUGCUUAUGAGAAUUGUAGAAAAUUCCCAAUAAUUGGCAUUAGAGCCUUGCUUGAGAAUUCAUGAUUUUCCAUUAAAGAAUUUUAUAACUUCUCUCUCUUAAUUUCUGGGUAUAAUCUUUGAUUUAACAAAAUUAACGUUUUUUAUGCAGAUGAACAGGAAUAUGAUAGUACCGUGAAUAGGAAAUAUAAAUAGUAUCUAUGAACAGUAAUUAUAAACAAUUCCGUAAACAGUACUCGUGAUUGCUAUAUAUAAUUAAUCAUGAAAUUGUGAGCUUUGCAUGUUAUUGUAUCGUGUCACAGAUAAGUAUGUUCAUAUUCGGUGAUUAUAAAUUCAAUGAAAACUGUUGAUAAUUGUCCAUGGAGUCAUGGACUAUGAAAAGCAUACAGUAAGUACAUGGGCUCAUGAAUCUCACGGGAAUGGCUUGAUGCAUUGAUUGACUUUAUGUGAUUUUUGUGAUGUGCGCAUAUAUAUUUGAAUUCUUAUAUAUACAUGCAAUAUUAAUGAACUAAAAGCAAAUUCUUGAAUAUAUAAAUAUUGUUGUAAGUAUUUAUAUUCUAUUAUUGUUUCAACAUUCGUUAUUAUUUAAUUUUUAUGUCUAUAUCAUAUAUAAUUUGUUAGCCACCAAAAUGGCCAGAUUAGAAAGUUUUUCAUAAAUGUCAAAUUAAAUUUAGUUUAAAGUACUCAUAAUCACUGUGAUGCUUAUGAAUGAAUGACGUGAUGAUUUUCUUGUAUAGGUAUAUUGAAAUUCAUACAUUAUAAAAUAUUGGGAAAUUAUCAGCCAUAUACCCUUAAAUGACACCCGUAUCAAACGUGUGUGAACACUUUUCAAGUGUAUCACUCGUAUACCCUAAGUUGACAAAACACUUCGGCCGUCCACCAAUCCGUUAACUUCCAUUAGAAAGUUAACAUAAUUGUGGCAAAUUAACUAUUUCGCCCUUAAAAC